Molecule: ribosomal RNA, 497 nt
Filed under: uncultured bacterium
Lineage: Bacteria
Description: partial 16S ribosomal RNA
Rfam family: Bacterial small subunit ribosomal RNA
Source: RNAcentral
GAUGAACGCUGGCGGCGUGCCUAAUACAUGCAAGUCGAGCGAACAGAUGAGGAGCUUGCUCCUCUGACGUUAGCGGCGGACGGGUGAGUAACACGUGGAUAACCUACCUAUAAGACUGGGAUAACUUCGGGAAACCGGAGCUAAUACCGGAUAAUAUAUUGAACCGCAUGGUUCAAUAGUGAAAGACGGUUUUGCUGUCACUUAUAGAUGGAUCCGCGCCGCAUUAGCUAGUUGGUAAGGUAACGGCUUACCAAGGCAACGAUGCGUAUCCGACCUGAGAGGGUGAUCGGCCACACUGGAACUGAGACACGGACAAGACUCCUACGGGAGGCAGCAGUAGGGAAUAUUCCGCAAUGGGCGAAAGCAUGACGGAGCAACGCCGCGUGAGUGAUGAAGGUCUUCGGAUCGUAAAACUCUGUUAUUAGGGAAGAACAAAUGUGUAAGUAAAUAUGCACGUAUUGACGGUACCUAAUCAGAAAGCCACGGCUAACUACGUG